UUGUUUUCUAAAAGAUCAAGUAAUUAGGAACAGAUGGAGUAGUUAAAGUCAUAAAUCAUUUUAAAUGUAAUCUAAUGAGGUUUCCCAUUGCCCAACCACUUAGAAAGGACAAUUUCUCGACAUUUGAUGGCAUAUAUGUAGAAUAUGUGAAAUCUACUUGUGAACUUCUUGUUGAUUCCGUUUGUACGAAUUAAGAUAGAUCAAAGUGAGUUUAUCCAUCUCGUUCGUCUUCUACUAUCAUAUUGUGAAGUAUUAUACACGCUCGCGUAAUGUAUCCUAUUUUUACCUUAUCCCAAAUAAGAGCUGGAUUUUUUACAAUGGCAAAUCGAGCUUGCAAAACUCCAAAAGCACGCUCGACAUCUUUACGGCAAGCUUAUUGAGUUGUUGCAAAUAAAGAUGCUUUCCGAGUUUGCGGAACUAGAAUAGAUUGGAUAAAAGUAGCCCAUUUAGGGUCAAUUUCAUCUGUGAGAUAGUAACCCAAAUGAUACUCGUUCCCCUUGACUAAAUAAUUCACAGUUGGAGCUCGACCUCGUAAGAUAUCAUCAAAAACAGGAGAACAAUCAAGAAUAUUGAUUCGUUUAAGGUACUUAGAGGUCCAAAAAAUGUGUGCCACAUCCAAAGAUCUUGAGAAGCUACAGCCUCUAAAACGAUCAUUGGUUUUCCAGAUCCACGUGCACAUUGUCCUUUCUAAGCGGUUGGGCAAUUAUUCCACUCUCAAUGCAUACAGUCGAUGCUUUCCAUCAUCCCGGGAAAACCUCGAAUCUCUCCAAUCAUGUGUAACCAAUCAAUAUCUUGAGCAGUCGGUUUUCGUAGGUACUCAUCUCUGGAAAAAAAAACUAUCGCUUCAACAAAAUUAUGGAUGCAUGAUAGUGAGGGGUUUCACCAAUAUGGAGGUAUUCGUCAACCGCAUCAGCCGCACAACCAUAUGUCAGUAUACGAAUUGAUGUUGUAGUCUUCUAUAGUGUAGAGAAUUCUAACCUUCCGGUUGCAGCUCUUCUCUGUUGAAAGAAUGAAAUUUCAUUGAAAAAUCUAUCAACAAUACACAUGAACAAAGGCUUGUUCACUCAAAAACGACGUUGAAAUUGAUUAGUAGAGAAAGCUGCAUUGUCAUUAAAAUAAUGUUUCAUAACUUGAUGUGUCAUUCUUCACGAUGUGUUUCAAUAUACUUUUGUUUUUUCCUUGGUUUGGUUGAUGCUUGACAUUCAUCAUAUGAAUAAAUUUUAUUUUUAAAUGCUUCAUCAAAGAGAUUAUCAAAUUCUUUGUUCAAUUUUUCAUGAAAAUUAUCACGAGAAGAAGACGCUAUCUUGGUUUAGAAGAAAUGAUGGAGUAUAAUAAAAAGUAUGAGAAGAGAAAUUUGGGCUUUUGGUAUAAAAUUUUGGUACAAUAAAAAUUUACGAGAAUGAUUACAAUGAUAAGUUUAGCAUGGAGAAUGUUUGAAGAAUAUUAAGACAUCAUGAGAAGUGGUGUGCAUCACUGCCUACUAAAGUGAUUGUCAUUAGUAAAAAAAAAAAGGCUGAGGCAAAUGCGUGUCCAAUCUGGUGUAAAGCUUGACGAUCACCAUGGAAAGGCUGAAGCUCAUCCACCUGGUGUGAAGACCGCCAAGUGUAAAGGUAAAAUAAAGGUUAACACAAUUCAGCAGCAAUGGAAGGAGAUGAGAAGCCAAUAGAGAGAUUCCAAAGUAUGUGGAAAAUAAAGAAAAAAAUAUUUGGCUUUGAAAGACAAGCUCAUCAAAAAAAAAAAAUGCUAAACAACCUUCUAGGAAAACAACCUCUUAGUGAAAUAGAGGAAGAGUUGAAGAACAAGCUAAUUAGAGACUUGUUGUCAAGCUAAUUAGCUUUUGUUUCUGUUUUCAGUUUAUGUUCCACUUAUCUCUGCUUGUUUAAGUUUAUGUUACACUUAUCUCUACUUGUUUCUGCUUGGUUAUAACUUUAAUUUUUUUGUAAUGAGUUUGUGUCAUUGUGUUUAUGUAAUGAAAAGUUAUGAUUUGUGUUUCCGUUUAUGUCAAACACAUCCGCGCGUUUCAGUUUGUGUCAAACAUUGUGAUACAUGUCUUUGAAAGUUUAUGUCUUUGUGUUGGUGCAAUGGAUCAAGAAGUAGCCACAAGUGGUGGACGAAACAGACACAAGUGGUGGAAGAAACAGAGAAAAGUGGUGAAACAAACAGACAUAUAGAGCUGUCAAUUGGGUGGGAGGCCUGUGAGUUUGCGCAGUCUAAAUAGACAUGGGCAGACUAUGGUCCAUAUCAAAAAAAUAAAUAGUCUAAUUGAGCAUAGAAAUAAUUUUGUCCGUGAAUAAUAUGGGCUUGACCAUAUGGACAGUGGGCAUCCCAAUUAUAGGAAUUGACAUAUUUUCAUUUUAUUCAUAUUUCUUAUAAUUUUAAUUACAGUUACAAGUAAAUAAUUUUCAAAUUAUAUAAU
Molecule: small RNA, 2416 nt
Filed under: Arabidopsis thaliana (thale cress)
Lineage: Eukaryota; Viridiplantae; Streptophyta; Magnoliopsida; Brassicales; Brassicaceae
Description: ATSL043290
Source: RNAcentral